GUUAACUGAGUUUGUAGAGUGCUCCACUGAAAAUGGAGAGGUCCCUGGUUCGAUACCACGAC
This 62-nucleotide transfer RNA is filed under the name Ixodes scapularis (black-legged tick). It matches the Rfam family "tRNA", at positions 6 to 65 of the family's 71-position model. From Rfam's summary of the family: Transfer RNA (tRNA) molecules are approximately 80 nucleotides in length. The record is from Rfam by way of RNAcentral. Lineage: Eukaryota; Metazoa; Arthropoda; Arachnida; Ixodida; Ixodidae.